Cebus imitator (Panamanian white-faced capuchin) is the source of this 158-nucleotide long non-coding RNA. RefSeq lists it as uncharacterized. The record is from RefSeq and is a predicted model, not a curated record. The transcript has 4 exons. Lineage: Eukaryota; Metazoa; Chordata; Mammalia; Primates; Cebidae.
CCUGCUCCAUGCUCCUGGGUCUCCUCUGGGAGCUCAUCAGGACCAUGGUGGAAUGGUCAGAAGUGGAACAUGAUGUCCUCUUCCCAGGGUACAGCCACCUGCAGAGGGCCAAGCCCCUCCACUGGAGCCACUGGAUUCUGAGGGGGAGAGGGCCAGGC